Molecule: long non-coding RNA, 1078 nt
Filed under: Triticum aestivum (bread wheat)
Lineage: Eukaryota; Viridiplantae; Streptophyta; Magnoliopsida; Poales; Poaceae
Description: long non-coding RNA (TAES_LNC025559)
Source: RNAcentral
UAUGAAAAAGGAAAAACACCACAAAAACAGAAAAUUACAGACAUGUCCAGAUGAUACCAUGUGGAGGAGCAAAAACACAAGAAACUUCAAUCUACAAACAAGUGCCACACAAGUGCUAGAGAACACCCUAUACUACUUUGCAGCCACUGCCUCCCAACGCUCAACAGACGGCAACCAGGGAUCAUUCCCAUGCCUUCCCAGACACAGAUCCAGCCAUCCCCGCCGACAUCAUCGAAGGAAGCCACCAUACCGUCUCAACCUAUGCUCCUGAGGACCAGCAUGACGUUGCCUGCACAUAGACAAACAGUAAGACUAACUCAAAAGUAUGGGCUUAAGCAUGGGUUUUCAUCCUUACACAAAACUGUACCAAAGGUAAAGUGAACCAUGCAUGUCAGCUUCAAAUAAUGGUAUUUUUACUAUGACGACAAUGCAGCACAAGCUAGCAACCAAGAACAUUUUCAGGAUAACAUAACAUCAUGUUUGAAAUAUCAAACAACAAAAGGAAUGGAAGCACGGAAAUGGAUGAUAAAGAUCCUGGUAAGUAUAUUCUUUCCCUUUCUUAAUUUCACAACACACAUACGAUCGCAAUAAAGAGCAAAUCAAUUCCAUGGUUUGGUUCUACAUAUAGGUUGGUAAAAAAGGGCCAGUCAAUGCAAAAGGGUCCAGUUAGUUAGCUAGUCAUUCAUAAAGUACAAUCAUGUGAAAGAAGAAGAAGAAGAAGAAGAAGAAUAAGCGGUCUGCCAAUGAUGCAUAUAGUAUUAUAAGAUCUGAGAUGUUCAUGAAAACAACAUAAAAUGAUAAAAUUGGAUCUGAUUAAGACCAUAGUGAAAUCCAAUGAUGGACAAAAAGAAAAUCAAUCCUAAUAUAGCGAGUUCCCUAUUGAGUUGAGAUGAUUACAUAGAAAACAAUCAUGUAACCGCCAGCCAGAUCAAACAUUUAUCGAUAGGGAGAAAGUGGGAGCUUUGGUGCCGCUAUUGUACCUUGGAUGCGCAGCAUUGGAUGGCAAUCACGAGCACACAGCCACACCUGUACCCAGUUCCCUGGGACCUUGAGAACCUGUACCCAUUGUUGACCGNNN